This 440-nucleotide ribosomal RNA is filed under the name uncultured bacterium. RNAcentral describes it as "partial 16S ribosomal RNA". It matches the Rfam family "Bacterial small subunit ribosomal RNA", at positions 338 to 795 of the family's 1533-position model. The record is from RNAcentral.
CCUACGGGUGGCAGCAGUGGGGAAUAUUGCACAAUGGGGGAAACCCUGAUGCAGCGACGCCGCGUGAGUGAAGAAGUAAUUCGUUAUGUAAAGCUCUAUCAGCAGGGAAGAAAAUGACGGUACCUGAGUAAGAAGCCCCGGCUAACUACGUGCCAGCAGCCGCGGUAAUACGUAGGGGGCAAGCGUUAUCCGGAUUUACUGGGUGUAAAGGGAGCGUAGACGGCAGUGCAAGUCUGGAGUGAAAGGCGGGGGCUCAACCCCCGGACUGCUCUGGAAACUGUACGGCUGGAGUGCAGGAGAGGUAAGUGGAAUUCCUAGUGUAGCGGUGAAAUGCGUAGAUAUUAGGAGGAACUCCGAUCGCGAAGGCAAGUGUCCGGGGUGCAACUGACGCUGAGGCUCGAAAGUGCGGGUAUCAAACAGGAUUAGAUACCCCUGUAGUC